AGGUCGAAUUCUGCCCUGAUUUACACCCCAUGACCUGGCAGCAGCUAAAGUUUUGCAGACAACCCGACGAGAUAAUCAUCACACGCUGGCAAUCACUUGCCAUCAAUUAUCCCCACGCUGCUGCUGUCAGUGGAUCACAGCCCCUACCUGGUGGGAGUCACUGCUGGUGCCACCGAGGCAUUUUCCAGAAAUGUAGUGUGGGGACGAUGGGAAACAGCUUCCAGACAGGCUCUGAGAUUGAUAUGCACGCCAAAGGGAAAUGCAUUAAACUAUUUAACUGCCUGGAAAUCCAGCAUAAUGAACAUCCAAAGCAUCUCCUUCCAGAGGCUGAUUCCUGCCGUGUUUGAAGCACAAUUGCUGAUAUUCAGGAUCAUCUUCCAGCCCCUCCCGAUAGCUGGGAGCUGUUUCAGGCAGCAGCAGGAUCCCACCCAUUCCUGGGAGCUCCGCAGGAUACCCCAGUGAUAAAACCCUGGUUUUUGGGAUUUACGGGCACAUAACCCCCCAGAGCAGCACCUGAGCUGGAGACUGUGGGAAAACAAAACCAAAGAGGUGUAAAAUGGAGCCACUUUCUUUCCCAGCCUGCAUUCCUGGGAUGAGGCAAAAGAAGGAGCUGCUCCAUCCCUGUGGAUGAGCUGCUCCUGCUGCCAGCACAUAUCGGCUGUUAAAUGCUUACCCAGCACCGGGAGGGGGUUAUUAGGAGCAGUGAAUUCCUUUGAUAAGUUCCCAGGUCAUAAAGAUGUUUGACUCCUCAUUUGCACGUUCCUCUCGGAAUCGAUCAAAGCAGAAAAGCUGGAGGGUAAAAAUCGAUAAGAGAGAAGGGUCUGUGGGAAGACGUAUGGAUAGAGCUGGGCAGGGGCAGGGCAAUCAGUUAUUGUGCUAAUUGAUGGCAGAAUGAGAACUCAGAAUUGAUCAGAGGCUGCCUGGGCUGAUACAACUCAGUGGCUCCAGAAUCCUGCUCUGGAGAUCUCUCAGAGGGAUGCUCGGAUCAGCUGCACCGUUCCCAACCUGCUCAGCUGCAGGGGUUUAUUGACAGGGAAAAGCAAAAUGAGCCUGGCUCUGGGUUAGAUCCCCCAAAAAGCAGGACUCUGCUGAUCAGGGCUCCUGCUAUUCCAGCAGAUUUCCACUGCUAUGUGGAUCCAGGGGCUGUUGGUGUAUCCAUGAAUCACCCACCCUCUCCUCCACUGAGGGUUUAGAGCAACCUCUGCCUCCCUCCAGAGCAGCACAGGACAUCAAGAAUAAAUAAUUCACCCUCCUGACACUCUUGAGGGCUGGAGCCUGUCCAGAGGAGAGAGGAGACUGAGGCACAGGCACAGUGAAGAGCUGGUUGCUCCUGAACCUCACUGUGAGAGGAGAUCAGAGAUCAGGAGAUCAGCUGUGCACCAAGGCUGUUCCCAGUUUUUGCAGAGUGUUCCCAGCACUGCUGCUGUGGGAUGAGACAGGAAUCCUCCUGCCCCAGGCUGCCCUGGAAGGCACAGGUUUGACAUUCCCAGUGAGUAUUUCUGGGUGAAACAGAGCUCGAACACCAGAGGGAAGCCUACAGACCCCUCUUCUUGGAAGGUAUGCAAUCAGAUAAACCAGAUCCAAUCCACCUGCUUGUGCCCUCCAGGUGGGAAUUCCUGUUUUCCAUGGGGCAAACUAUGCUCCAAUUCUCCUCCCUGCAGUUCCCUGAAACAAAUCAUACUUUGGGGAUAAUUUCUGGAAGAUCUGCCCUGAAGCUGGAUGGGAGGAAGGUCAAAGCCACCUCCAUUGCAAAGCUGCAGCAGUGACCCCACAAAGGGAACAUCAGUCCCAGAUGGCUUCCAGCACUGGGAAUUCUGAAGACCAGGUAAGAAAAAAAGGAGUUUAAACAA
Long non-coding RNA from Zonotrichia albicollis (white-throated sparrow), 1850 nucleotides. RefSeq lists it as uncharacterized. The record is from RefSeq and is a predicted model, not a curated record. Lineage: Eukaryota; Metazoa; Chordata; Aves; Passeriformes; Passerellidae.